UCCUUGAUCUGACGGCUACC
Molecule: microRNA, 20 nt
Filed under: Medicago truncatula (barrel medic)
Lineage: Eukaryota; Viridiplantae; Streptophyta; Magnoliopsida; Fabales; Fabaceae
Description: mtr-miR2667b
Source: miRBase by way of RNAcentral